GGGGGCGAAAGGCUUCGACCGGACGGGUAGAUAAGUAAACUGCAUAUCCAGGAUGUCGGUUGGCCUGGCUAAUCAUCCGGCACAAAUUUAAUUGGCAACUACCAAUUAAGAAUGGCUGCCUAAUUUAGGCGGUCCGUCCUGCGGAAUCGCUCCCGCCGGUUUCGCAAGGGCGCCAAAAUGCGGGACAGCUCUGCAAGGCGGUUCGUCCGAGCAGAGUUAAAAAACUACGAACUGGCCGAGACGUAAGCCUGUUAUUCGGCGGACGGCUCGGCGAGAACCAAACGAAUAACUAAAUAUGUAGAAGUUUACUUUGAAACGUUUCGGGACGCGGGUUCGAAUCCCGCCGCCUCCAAUU
This 355-nucleotide transfer-messenger RNA is filed under the name Planctomycetes bacterium HGW-Planctomycetes-1. It matches the Rfam family "transfer-messenger RNA". Rfam says of the family: Bacterial tmRNA, also known as 10Sa RNA or SsrA, is named for its dual tRNA and mRNA-like properties. Its role is to liberate the mRNA from a stalled ribosome. To accomplish this part of the tmRNA is used as a reading frame that ends in a translation stop signal. Lineage: Bacteria; Pseudomonadati; Planctomycetota. The record is from RNAcentral. RNAcentral also lists the same sequence under 1 other name.